CAAAGACAUGAUUUUACUAAACAACCAUUCCAUCUUACUUUCAUAACUGGAAUAAUAAGAAAAUGUUACGGCUGUGGAUGAUCAUUUUCAGAUAAGCAUACAAAUGUUCCAAAUGAUCUUGUGUUAAAAAGAUAUGAUCAUAGAAUGUAUUUAAGUCCAAGAUCUAAAAUCUUGAUACUAUCUGUUUCUCUACAAAACACAUAUUUUCAUUUAAAUGAUGACAAGAAAAAAGGAUACUCAGUUUGAAUUCAAAGAUG
Molecule: long non-coding RNA, 257 nt
Filed under: Mytilus galloprovincialis (Mediterranean mussel)
Lineage: Eukaryota; Metazoa; Mollusca; Bivalvia; Mytilida; Mytilidae
Source: RNAcentral